ACUCUGUGAGUGACCUCGACUUGGUACUCUGACUUAUCCCAGACUGCACAAUCUUAUUGCCCAUUGAAAUUAAAGUACAUUCAGCAAACUCUAUAUGGAUUUUAAAAGAAUAUAUUCUACUUUCUAUUCUAAAAUCAGUCAAUACAAUGUCUGGUUACAAAAAAUUGAAAUGCAUCACAUGUAAGGCAGCUUGAAGGAUUCAUUUGCACAUUCAGGUUUAAAAAAAUAGUCACGAGGAACACUGGUUAAUUACCACAUGCUAUAGUGUAGACCAGUGGUUUCGAAACUUUUCAAGUUGCGCAUAUUUUUUAUUAGCUUCACGCCCUCUCAAAAUAUUGUCUAUGCCUCCCCUUGUGGAGCGCACAAGCCCCCCCCCACACGGUUGAGAACCAUUGAUGUAGACAUUUUCAAACUUGUGAAAUAAUGGUUUCUUUCUACCUUCCCUCAGGGAUUGGCCAGUUCUAUUUGUUAAGGUGCUUUUAUGCCAAGCAAGGCCAUUUCCAAACCACCAAUUGCCAUUUUUCUAAGGAACAGAACCUAAAACAUUGUAAACUAAAUUAAUUACAUCCUGAGUGUGGGGUGGUGAACACUGAAGGUGCUUUUAUGCCAAGCAAGGCCAUUUCCAAACCACCAAUUGCCAUUUUUCUAAGGAACAGAACCUAAAACAUUGUAAACUAAAUUAAUUACACCCUGAGUGUGGGGUGGUGAACACUGGGCUUGCACCACUAUAAACUCGCUAACACACACAGCAAAUAUGGCCAAAUAAAAAACAGUUGAAUUCAUAAAAAUCAAAAAUAUUAGGCAGCUCAGGCAAUUAUUUGGGUACUCCCGAAGUAUGUGGACCAAGAUGGCGGACAUCGUAACGUGAUAUGUGUACCAGGUUAGGGUUAGGCCAUAAUAUUUAUUCCAAUUUUCCUUAUUCUAGUUAUAUUAUGAGUUCAGAGACUAGCCAGAUGUCUCCCCUAGUAUUUGUACCUGAAAUUAUGGCCUAACCCUAACUUGGUACACAUACUGCGUUUCGGUAUCUGCCAUCUUGGUUCAAAUACUCCAAGAAAACCAUUAUUUGCACAUUUAAAUUGAAAAAGGGCAGCAGGAACAUAGUGUCAAUGUAAUGAUAAGAGCAUGGCUGGAAUGGUUGUAUGAUAUACACAAUAUCGUCAGGAAUGCUGAGUUAAACUUAUGAAAAUAAAGUUAUGAGAAAAGUCGCAGUUACGAAUAAAAUUACUGGCACAUGCUGGUGACACGAGCUGUUAGCUUUAGAUUGACCGCCCUCAGCUUGAGUGUUUUGAAUUGGUCAGGCAAGUACGGUAUUUCCAAAUAAAUGGUAGCUUCAUAAAUUGGUGUCUGGCUGUGCUGCUAUCUUAUUCGGAACAAAGCCAGGAAUUUGGUAUCGUACAAAAAAAAUAGUACAAGAUUUAAAAUUGGCCCAAAGUGACAGAGCAUGUCAGAAAUCAAAUUUUCAAAGGAAUGAGAUAAAGUAUGAUUAUACAGAACAAGGCACAAUAUAGAAUGCUUUAUCAUUAAAAUUUUUGGCAGAAAAAUAAAAGCAACAACUAAAUAUAUAUUAUAUAUUCUGAAUAGCAUUUACACAUAAAAGCUUCUAGCACACAUACAAUUAGUUAGAAUAAGAAACUUUUCCCACGAAACGGCUACAAAUGGACAAAUAAGAAGUAAACAAGAAGAAAGUCAAGUACACGAUAUUCUAGUACCGUUUAAACAUACAAUUUUGGCUUCUUUUUUAACCAACUCUAUUUCCUUUGAACUCUAUCAGAGAGUAGCUUCUAGAGUAGGUAUUGGCAUCGGUUAUUCUGCUCAAUUUUUUUUAAGAGAUUUGCUAAAGCAUACUCAUGGAGACUCUUAAUUUUUUUUUUCAAAAAUUUGGGUAGCUUGAAUAAAAAGGUUGGAACCACUGUCACAGGACAUGGAAACAAGACCGGUCAAUAUUAUGCUGAUAGCGAAACUGGGUACAGAAAUAGAUAUGCUUCUUAUAAACAGGCCGAAACUGAAAACAAAUUAAAUGCUAUAAGCAAAACUAAUAUUCAAAUAGUUGGAUUUGGUACAGUGGCUCAUUCACUUUACCAGGGAAAACAAAUCCGUAUUACUCAAGGUAAACUAAACAUUUCUAUUAAAUAUCAAACUAGAUGGUGCCUAUAGUGUAUGCUUCGUAUAAACAGGCCGAAUCAAAAACAAAUUAAAUGCACAGAACUAAAAUUGGAAUAGUUGGCUUCAGAAAAGAGCCUCAUUAACUUGCCAAAUAAAACAAAUCCGAACUAUCUAAAAUAAAUUUUAAAACCAGUAAUUUCUAUUAAAUAUCAAAGCAGAUAAUACCUAUAGCACCGCCGUGUAUGCUUCUUAUAAACAGUCAGUAACUCAAAAGUUGGAA
Styela clava is the source of this 2383-nucleotide non-coding RNA. NCBI's taxonomy places the organism in Eukaryota, Metazoa, Chordata, Ascidiacea, Stolidobranchia, Styelidae. The record is from RefSeq and is a predicted model, not a curated record.